This 116-nucleotide small RNA is filed under the name Marmota monax (woodchuck). Lineage: Eukaryota; Metazoa; Chordata; Mammalia; Rodentia; Sciuridae. The record is from RNAcentral.
GCUGGGUGCAUGGUGCACACUUGUAGUCCCAGCCACUAAGGAGGCUGAGACAGGAGGAUUGGUUGAACCUAGGAGUUUGAGGCCAGCUUGGGAAACAUGGUAAGACCCUGUAUCUC